Molecule: transfer RNA, 71 nt
Filed under: Bos taurus (domestic cattle)
Lineage: Eukaryota; Metazoa; Chordata; Mammalia; Artiodactyla; Bovidae
Rfam family: tRNA
About the family: Transfer RNA (tRNA) molecules are approximately 80 nucleotides in length. Their secondary structure includes four short double-helical elements and three loops (D, anti-codon, and T loops).
Source: Rfam by way of RNAcentral
ACCCUGGUGGUCUAGUGGCUAAGACUGCACUUCCAACGCAGGGGGUCUGGGUUCAAUCCCUGGUCAGGGAA